RNAcentral lists this ribosomal RNA (460 nucleotides) under uncultured bacterium. Its description in RNAcentral is "partial 16S ribosomal RNA". It matches the Rfam family "Bacterial small subunit ribosomal RNA", at positions 338 to 795 of the family's 1533-position model. The record is from RNAcentral.
CCUACGGGUGGCAGCAGUGAGGAAUAUUGGUCAAUGGACGCAAGUCUGAACCAGCCAUGCCGCGUGCAGGAAGACGGCUCUAUGAGUUGUAAACUGCUUUUGUACGAGGGUAAACUCAUAUACGCGUAUCUGUCUGAAAGUAUCGUACGAAUAAGGAUCGGCUAACUCCGUGCCAGCAGCCGCGGUAAUACGGAGGAUUCAAGCGUUAUCCGGAUUUAUUGGGUUUAAAGGGUGCGUAGGCGGUCGGAUAAGUUAGAGGUGAAAUUCCGCGGCUCAACUUCGGAAUUGCCUCUGAUACUGGUCGGCUAGAGAGCAGUUGCGGUAGGCGGAAUGUAUGGUGUAGCGGUGAAAUGCUUAGAGAUCAUACAGAACACCGAUUGCGAAGGCAGCUUACCAGGCUACUUCUGACGUUGAGGCACGAAAGCGUGGGGAGCAAACAGGAUUAGAUACCCUGGUAGUC